RNAcentral lists this ribosomal RNA (305 nucleotides) under uncultured bacterium. RNAcentral's name for it is "bacterial SSU rRNA". It matches the Rfam family "Bacterial small subunit ribosomal RNA", at positions 335 to 658 of the family's 1533-position model. The record is from RNAcentral.
GCCCUACGGGACGCAGCAGUGGGGAAUAUUGGACAAUGGGGGGAACCCUGAUCCAGCGACGCCGCGUGAGUGAAGAAGUAUUUCGGUAUGUAAAGCUCUAUCAGCAGGGAAGAAAAUGACGGUACCUGACUAAGAAGCCCCGGCUAACUACGUGCCAGCAGCCGCGGUAAUACGUAGGGGGCAAGCGUUAUCCGGAUUUACUGGGUGUAAAGGGUGCGUAGGUGGUUUGACAAGUUGGUAGCGUAACUCCGGGGCUCAACCUCGGCACUACUACCAAAACUGUUGGACUUGAGUGCAGGAGGGGC